Molecule: ribosomal RNA, 516 nt
Filed under: uncultured Pseudomonadota bacterium
Lineage: Bacteria; Pseudomonadati; Pseudomonadota
Description: bacterial SSU rRNA
Rfam family: Bacterial small subunit ribosomal RNA
Source: RNAcentral
AGAGUUUGAUCCUGGCUCAGAUUGAACGCUGGCGGCAUGCCUUACACAUGCAAGUCGAACGCGAAAGGGGGCAACCCCGAGUAGAGUGGCGAACGGGUGAGCAAUACAUCGGAACGUGUCCUGUAGCGGGGGACAACACAUCGAAAGAUGUGCUAAUACCGCAUACGAUCUACGGAUGAAAGUGGAGGACCGCAAGGCCCCACACUAUAGGAGCGGCCGAUGCCGGAUUAGCUUGUUGGCGGGGUAAAAGCCCACCAAGGCGACGAUCCGUAGCUGGUUUGAGAGAACGACCAGCCACACUGGGACUGAGACACGGCCCAGACUCCUACGGGAGGCAGCAGUGGGGAAUUUUGGACAAUGGGCGCAAGCCUGAUCCAGCCAUGCCGCGUGAGUGAAGAAGGCCUUCGGGUUGUAAAGCUCUUUCGGCCGGGACGAAAUGGCGCGGGGUAAUAUCCCGCGUCGAUGACGGUACCGGAAGAAGAAGGACCGGCUAACUACGUGCCAGCAGCCGCGGUA